UGGACCCUGAACGUUACAUAACAGGUGCUUAUCAAGUUCGUCCGCGUGUUAGCUGAAACGAGGUUGUAACAUAUAAAGUCGCGGUAAAUGACCACUUUGACAGCUUUUCGUGUUUCGUUUGGUUAAGUUGGUGUCCCAUUAUCGUAGUUGAGGUCGAAUGUGGUACUGAAUAAACACCAGUUUGUGUACUUGUGACUAACAGUUAGUUUGGUGGCUAACUGUUAGCUUGGUGGCUAAAUGUUAGCAUGGUGGCUAACUGUUAGCUUGGUGGCUAAAUGUUAGCAUGGUGGCUAACUGUUAGCAUGGUGGCUAACGGUGAGCUUAGAGGCUAAAUGUUAGCUUGGUGGCUAUCUCGAAGAAAAGUGGACUAAUUGUUUUUAUUAACGUCUGGUGGAAGAGCUAUGCUGGUUAUAAUGGAUGACUUCCUGACGUCUGGACUCUGCGUUGCUCAUCACUUAAACACAACAGUGAGUAUUGACAGCACCAAGAAGCUCCGAAAAACCUCAGGGCAAUGUGACCCUCCUGACCUUCUCCUCUCUAAGGGAACAAAACCACUCCAUCCCGAGCGGGUGUCCCUCAGAACUCAGGGACACAGGGGUCAAGUACCCCGAGACUGCGAGCAGGUCUGUGAUCUUGUUCCGCCUGGUUCCUCAUUGUCCUUGAGAGGAGUUCAGUUGCCUUGUGAUGUAUGAGCGUCUUAUGAUUUCAGACGUCACCGUUAAAUCCACCCACUUUCUGUACUCUGCUCGGCCCCAGGAAAUAUCUUAUUUUUCUGGUGCUCCCUUUCAACCACAUAUUGCUCCAAAAAGGGAAUAAAAAGAAGAAUGUCU
Entelurus aequoreus (snake pipefish) is the source of this 830-nucleotide long non-coding RNA. RefSeq lists it as uncharacterized. The record is from RefSeq and is a predicted model, not a curated record. The transcript is spliced from 3 exons. NCBI's taxonomy places the organism in Eukaryota, Metazoa, Chordata, Actinopteri, Syngnathiformes, Syngnathidae.